GGAUCUGUUGGUACUCGUGGAUGGUGAGCUGUACAUGAACCAUCAAUGUGCUGUCGCAGCCCAGGAUGCCAACCGUAUCUUGGGCUGCAUCAAAAGAAACGUGGCCAGCAUUUCUUUGGACAUGAUCCUGACCCUUUUCUCUACUUUGGUGAGGCUUCACCUGAAGUAUUCUGUCCAAAUGUUGAUUCCUCAGCACAGGAGAGUCAUAGACCUGUUGGUGCACAUCCAGCGUAGGGCUGCAGAAAUUUUCCAUGCACCGGAACUCUUCUCCUACGUGGACAGGCAGAGAACUGGGGCCGUGCAGCCUGGAGAAGAGAAGGCUUGAAGACCCUCGGCUGCUUGCUGGACAAGCUGUGUUACUUCACUUUGCCAUGUGGGGAGAGUCCGGUGGCAGUCUGCGAUGGCAGCUUCACCAUUCCAGUCAGUUCUUGAGCAAAACAGUUGGUGUUUCUCAUCCUGGAAGAGUCUUGCAGAGCGGACUCUCAUCUUCAGCCCUUGCCGGCUCGGCUGGAGCUGGGCUCAGCUGUUCCCGUGUUCCCGUGACGGAGCCCUCGAGCUCUGUGCUGACUGCGCUGCUGAGCUGCAGCGCUCCUCUGACAGCUCUGUCCAUCCCAGGAGCACAGCCAUCCCAGCGCCGCGCUGUCCUUCAGUCGGGGACGUCCCUGCAGCGCUCAGCAGGCACCGCCGC
RNAcentral lists this long non-coding RNA (688 nucleotides) under Numida meleagris (helmeted guineafowl). RNAcentral's name for it is "lncRNA (ENSNMEG00000001374.1)". The record is from RNAcentral. Lineage: Eukaryota; Metazoa; Chordata; Aves; Galliformes; Numididae.